This 639-nucleotide ribosomal RNA is filed under the name Escherichia coli. RNAcentral's name for it is "partial 23S ribosomal RNA". It matches the Rfam family "Bacterial large subunit ribosomal RNA", at positions 2259 to 2892 of the family's 2925-position model. The record is from RNAcentral. Lineage: Bacteria; Pseudomonadati; Pseudomonadota; Gammaproteobacteria; Enterobacterales; Enterobacteriaceae.
UGGUGGGUAGUUUGACUGGGGCGGUCUCCUCCUAAAGAGUAACGGAGGAGCACGAAGGUUGGCUAAUCCUGGUCGGACAUCAGGAGGUUAGUGCAAUGGCAUAAGCCAGCUUGACUGCGAGCGUGACGGCGCGAGCAGGUGCGAAAGCAGGUCAUAGUGAUCCGGUGGUUCUGAAUGGAAGGGCCAUCGCUCAACGGAUAAAAGGUACUCCGGGGAUAACAGGCUGAUACCGCCCAAGAGUUCAUAUCGACGGCGGUGUUUGGCACCUCGAUGUCGGCUCAUCACAUCCUGGGGCUGAAGUAGGUCCCAAGGGUAUGGCUGUUCGCCAUUUAAAGUGGUACGCGAGCUGGGUUUAGAACGUCGUGAGACAGUUCGGUCCCUAUCUGCCGUGGGCGCUGGAGAACUGAGGGGGGCUGCUCCUAGUACGAGAGGACCGGAGUGGACGCAUCACUGGUGUUCGGGUUGUCAUGCCAAUGGCACUGCCCGGUAGCUAAAUGCGGAAGAGAUAAGUGCUGAAAGCAUCUAAGCACGAAACUUGCCCCGAGAUGAGUUCUCCCUGACUCCUUGAGAGUCCUGAAGGAACGUUGAAGACGACGACGUUGAUAGGCCGGGUGUGUAAGCGCAGCGAUGCGUUGAGCU